GAUGAACGCUGGCGGCGUGCCUAAUACAUGCAAGUCGAGCGAACAGACGAGGAGCUUGCUCCUCUGACGUUAGCGGCGGACGGGUGAGUAACACGUGGAUAACCUACCUAUAAGACUGGGAUAACUUCGGGAAACCGGAGCUAAUACCGGAUAACAUGUUGAACCGCAUGGUUCAACAGUGAAAGACGGUCUUGCUGUCACUUAUAGAUGAAUCCGCGCCGCAUUAGCUAGUUGGUAAGGUAACGGCUUACCAAGGCAACGAUGCGUAGCCGACCUGAGAGGGUGAUCGGCCACACUGGAACUGAGACACGGUCCAGACUCCUACGGGAGGCAGCAGUAGGGAAUCUUCCGCAAAGGGCGAAAGCCUGACGGAGCAACGCCGCGUGAGUGAUGAAGGUCUUCGGAUCGUAAAACUCUGUUAUUAGGGAAGAACAAAUGUGUAAGUAACUAUGCACGUCUUGACGGUACCUAAUCAGAAAGCCACGGCUAACUACGUG
RNAcentral lists this ribosomal RNA (497 nucleotides) under uncultured bacterium. RNAcentral describes it as "partial 16S ribosomal RNA". It matches the Rfam family "Bacterial small subunit ribosomal RNA", at positions 28 to 507 of the family's 1533-position model. The record is from RNAcentral.